UUGAUGGAAUUUUAGCUUCCUCUAAAAGCAGGUGCACGUUAUCACCAUCACCAACGAUGUCAUCAUUUACAAAAGCGUCCUCUAAAAGCAGGUACGCAUCGUCACCAUCACCAACGUUGUCCUCAUUUACAAAAGCUAAACAACCUCACAGACCAUGCUAACGAAAGGAUCAAGAUGAAAAUUCUGAAUUGGCCGUUUAUUUAAUUUCGUCGAUUUCUUACUGUUAAAUGUUUUUUUUUAUGAAAUUAUAAGAACAAUGCGCAUGAUAA
Molecule: long non-coding RNA, 269 nt
Organism: Xenia sp. Carnegie-2017
Lineage: Eukaryota; Metazoa; Cnidaria; Anthozoa; Malacalcyonacea; Xeniidae
Exons: 3
Source: RefSeq, a predicted model, not a curated record